RNAcentral lists this transfer RNA (93 nucleotides) under Nitrospinaceae bacterium. RNAcentral's name for it is "tRNA-Ser". It matches the Rfam family "tRNA". Rfam says of the family: Transfer RNA (tRNA) molecules are approximately 80 nucleotides in length. Their secondary structure includes four short double-helical elements and three loops (D, anti-codon, and T loops). The record is from RNAcentral. Lineage: Bacteria; Pseudomonadati; Nitrospinota; Nitrospinia; Nitrospinales; Nitrospinaceae.
GGAGAGGUGGCAGAGCCUGGCUUAAUGCGGCGGCCUCGAAAGCCGUUGUCCUGUUUAUCAGGACCGGGGGUUCGAAUCCCUCCCUCUCCGCCA